AGUGUAGGCGGCCCGGCAAGUUGGACGUGAAAUCCCUCGGCUCAACCGAGGAACUGCGUCCAAAACUGCUGGGCUUGAGUCCCGGAGAGGGUGGCGGAAUUCCCAGUGUAGCGGUGAAAUGCGUAGAUAUUGGGAGGAACACCAGUGGCGAAGGCGGCCACCUGGACGGGUACUGACGCUGAGGCGCGAAAGCUAGGGGAGCAAACAGGAUUAGAUACCCUGGUAGUCC
This 229-nucleotide ribosomal RNA is filed under the name uncultured bacterium. RNAcentral describes it as "partial 16S ribosomal RNA". It matches the Rfam family "Bacterial small subunit ribosomal RNA", at positions 568 to 796 of the family's 1533-position model. The record is from RNAcentral.